Molecule: long non-coding RNA, 373 nt
Organism: Mauremys reevesii (Reeves's turtle)
Lineage: Eukaryota; Metazoa; Chordata; Testudines; Geoemydidae
Exons: 4
Source: RefSeq, a predicted model, not a curated record
CCUACACCACCACAGAGCAUUUUAUGGGCACUGGACUAAGACUCAGGAGAUACUCUCUGUGCCUCCGUUUUCCUUUUGCAACCUUUAUCCGUCUGAUCUAUAUAGACUGUACACUCUUUGAAGCAGGAAAUGUCUCUCACUCUUCGUAUAGUGACAUCACAGCAAAGAAGAGUUUUGAGGAUGGAUUUGAAGGUGGAUAAUGAGAUGGAGAAACUGAAGCUCAGAGAGGUUAAGUGACGUACUCAAGGAUACCUGACACGCGUGGCAGAGGUGGAAAUAGAAUUCAAUUCCUUGAAUCAUAAACCCAUCCUUCUUCCCUAACGUACAAACCAAGAAAACAAAAGUGACAAUCAGUAUGUGACAGACUUUUAAG